CUGGGACGCGCCCCAGGCGCACCCAGAAACCCUUUGUGAACUUAUACCUUUUGUUGCCUCGGCGCAUGCUGGCCUCUAGUAGGCCCCUCACCCCGGUGAGGAGAAGGCACGCCGGCGGCCAAGUUAACUCUUGUUUUUACACUGAAACUCUGAGAAAAAACACAAAUGAAUCAAAACUUUCAACAACGGAUCUCUUGGUUCUGGCAUCGAUGAAGAACGCAGCGAAAUGCGAUAAGUAAUGUGAAUUGCAGAAUUCAGUGAAUCAUCGAAUCUUUGAACGCACAUUGCGCCCUCUGGUAUUCCGGAGGGCAUGCCUGUUCGAGCGUCAUUUCAACCCUCAAGCAUUGCUUGGUGUUGGGGCACUGCUUCUAACGAAGCAGGCCCUGAAAUCUAGUGGCGAGCUCGCCAGGACCCCGAGCGUAGUAGUUAAACCCUCGCUCUGGAAGGCCCUGGCGGUGCCCUGCCGUUAAACCCCCAACUUUUGAAAAUUUGACCUCGGAUCAGGUAGGAAUACCCGCUGAACUUAAGCAUAUCAAUAAGCGGAGGAA
RNAcentral lists this ribosomal RNA (548 nucleotides) under fungal sp. SNB-GTC2808. RNAcentral's name for it is "LSU rRNA". The stretch from base 175 to 328 matches the Rfam family "5.8S ribosomal RNA". The record is from RNAcentral. Lineage: Eukaryota; Fungi.